GAUGAACGCUGGCGGCGUGCCUAAUACAUGCAAGUCGAGCGAACGGACGAGAAGCUUGCUUCUCUGAUGUUAGCGGCGGACGGGUGAGUAACACGUGGAUAACCUACCUAUAAGACUGGGAUAACUUCGGGAAACCGGAGCUAAUACCGGAUAAUAUUUUGAACCGCAUGGUUCAAAAGUAAAAGACGGUCUUGCUGUCACUUAUAGAUGGAUCCGCGCUGCAUUAGCUAGUUGGUAAGGUAACGGCUUACCAAGGCAACGAUGCAUAGCCGACCUGAGAGGGGGAUCGGCCCAACUGAAACUGAACAACGGUCAAGACUCCAAGGGGGGGCAGAAGUGGGGAAUUUUCCGAAGGGGGCGAAAGCCUGGCGGAGCAACGCCGCGGGAGGAAUGAGGGUCUUCGGUUCGAAAAACUCUUUUAUUGGGGAAAAAAAUAUUUGGAAGUAAUUGUGCACAUCUUGACGGUACCUAAUAAGAAAGCCACGGCUAACUACGU
This 496-nucleotide ribosomal RNA is filed under the name uncultured bacterium. Its description in RNAcentral is "partial 16S ribosomal RNA". It matches the Rfam family "Bacterial small subunit ribosomal RNA", at positions 28 to 506 of the family's 1533-position model. The record is from RNAcentral.